RNAcentral lists this unclassified non-coding RNA (835 nucleotides) under Hevea brasiliensis (rubber tree). The record is from RNAcentral. Lineage: Eukaryota; Viridiplantae; Streptophyta; Magnoliopsida; Malpighiales; Euphorbiaceae.
UAUCAUUAACAUUGUUCCUAUGUACAAAAUUUCAACCAAUUUUGCAGGGAAUUAGAGCACACCACUUUGAAUUGGAAGUGAUCAAAUCAAGAAGAUCAAAAGUUGGCAAUUAUUACUGGCUUGUGAUCUUUGUCAAUUUUUCUGCUGCCUGCGUCUCCAUGGGGCCACCUGCUUAAAGCUUUUAUAGAUGUCUGUCCACAAUUGUGAUCUUGUAGAAGAAAAACCCAAGAAGCUGGAUUUCCUUAUCCUAGUGAUCUUCACCUUCGCAGUAACACCAUCAACACCACGACGAUCAAAAACUGGAGAUGAUGAGAAGUCAACACUACCCUCAACAACUUGUUUAUUCCUUCUGAAACUCCCCCACCGGCUAGAUCCAAAUAUCACUCUUCCUUUACCGUCUCUCCUGGCCAAGUUCUCAAAGCUACUAAAUAACGACCUUCCUUUCCCAAAUGACAAAGAGCUAGAGCGAGACAGAGACUGAUGAUGAGCACUCAAAUAAGGUUCAUCCAAGACAGUAGUUGGAGAGGGCAUGUUAUUGACUCUGGCCUCACAAAACAGCCUCGGAGGCAAUUCCAAGCAUCUUGCAGUCUUGGAGUUGGGAUGCACCUGGUUGGUGGUCCAGGGUCUAGGCUUGCCUGGUGCUUCCUCCCACAGGAAUGGAACUGAAGCUAAGGUAUGUAUUGGUGAAGUCGACAACCCUGGUGACUCUUGUGGCUUGCUUGGAAGCGAAAAGAAGGAGAGCUUAGGUGUAGGACUUGGCUCAGAGCCCAUAGUUUUGAAUUUUUCUCUUCCUUAAUUUCUGUGUCUAAAAGAUCAUGCAGGAGUGACACUGAAA